GGCCGUACGGCAAUGAUAGACUUUCGAAUCGUGUCAGAUCCGGAAGGAAGCAGCACUAAGGAUGUUCCGUCAUGUGCCGUUCGUACAUA
This 89-nucleotide signal recognition particle RNA is filed under the name Carnobacterium sp. ISL-102. RNAcentral's name for it is "signal recognition particle sRNA small type". It matches the Rfam family "Bacterial small signal recognition particle RNA". Rfam says of the family: The signal recognition particle (SRP) is a universally conserved ribonucleoprotein involved in the co-translational targeting of proteins to membranes. Archaeal SRP consists of a 7S RNA and homologues of the eukaryotic SRP19 and SRP54 proteins. The record is from RNAcentral. Lineage: Bacteria; Bacillati; Bacillota; Bacilli; Lactobacillales; Carnobacteriaceae.